RNAcentral lists this ribosomal RNA (252 nucleotides) under uncultured bacterium. RNAcentral describes it as "partial 16S ribosomal RNA". It matches the Rfam family "Bacterial small subunit ribosomal RNA", at positions 524 to 776 of the family's 1533-position model. The record is from RNAcentral.
UACGGAGGAUGCGAGCGUUAUCCGGAUUUAUUGGGUUUAAAGGGUGCGUAGGCGGGAUGUCAAGUCAGCGGUCAAACUGCGGGGCUCAACCCCGUAUUGCCGUUGAAACUGGCGUUCUUGAGUGAGUGAGAGGUAUGCGGAAUGCGUGGUGUAGCGGUGAAAUGCAUAGAUAUCACGCAGAACCCCGAUUGCGAAGGCAGCAUACCGGUGCUCAACUGACGCUGAGGCACGAAAGCGUGGGGAUCAAACAGG